Molecule: unclassified non-coding RNA, 190 nt
Filed under: plant metagenome
Description: partial contains small subunit ribosomal RNA and internal transcribed spacer 1
Rfam family: Eukaryotic small subunit ribosomal RNA (bases 1-46)
Source: RNAcentral
AAGUCGUAACAAGGUUUCUGUAGGUGAACCUGCAGAAGGAUUAUCAUUGUAGAGCUUUAGCCCUGUUAAGAUAGAACUCUUACCUUUAUAAGUACUGUCUGUUUCCUUAGCAGGUCUGCCUGCUAAUAGACCUAAAACCAAACCCUUUUAUUACCUGUAUUAGUCUGAAAAAGUAAACAAAAAGUUAAAA